Molecule: ribosomal RNA, 1372 nt
Filed under: uncultured bacterium
Lineage: Bacteria
Description: bacterial SSU rRNA
Rfam family: Bacterial small subunit ribosomal RNA
Source: RNAcentral
GAUGAACGCUGGCGGCGUGCCUAAUACAUGCAAGUCGAGCGAACGGACGAGAAGCUUGCUUCUCUGAUGUUAGCGGCGGACGGGUGAGUAACACGUGGAUAACCUACCUAUAAGACUGGGAUAACUUCGGGAAACCGGAGCUAAUACCGGAUAAUAUUUUGAACCGCAUGGUUCAAAAGUGAAAGACGGUCUUGCUGUCACUUAUAGAUGGAUCCGCGCUGCAUUAGCUAGUUGGUAAGGUAACGGCUUACCAAGGCAACGAUGCAUAGCCGACCUGAGAGGGUGAUCGGCCACACUGGAACUGAGACACGGUCCAGACUCCUACGGGAGGCAGCAGUAGGGAAUCUUCCGCAAUGGGCGAAAGCCUGACGGAGCAACGCCGCGUGAGUGAUGAAGGUCUUCGGAUCGUAAAACUCUGUUAUUAGGGAAGAACAUAUGUGUAAGUAACUGUGCACAUCUUGACGGUACCUAAUCAGAAAGCCACGGCUAACUACGUGCCAGCAGCCGCGGUAAUACGUAGGUGGCAAGCGUUAUCCGGAAUUAUUGGGCGUAAAGCGCGCGUAGGCGGUUUUUUAAGUCUGAUGUGAAAGCCCACGGCUCAACCGUGGAGGGUCAUUGGAAACUGGAAAACUUGAGUGCAGAAGAGGAAAGUGGAAUUCCAUGUGUAGCGGUGAAAUGCGCAGAGAUAUGGAGGAACACCAGUGGCGAAGGCGACUUUCUGGUCUGUAACUGACGCUGAUGUGCGAAAGCGUGGGGAUCAAACAGGAUUAGAUACCCUGGUAGUCCACGCCGUAAACGAUGAGUGCUAAGUGUUAGGGGGUUUCCGCCCCUUAGUGCUGCAGCUAACGCAUUAAGCACUCCGCCUGGGGAGUACGACCGCAAGGUUGAAACUCAAAGGAAUUGACGGUGACCCGCACAAGCGGUGGAGCAUGUGGUUUAAUUCGAAGCAACGCGAAGAACCUUACCAAAUCUUGACAUCCUCUGACCCCUCUAGAGAUAGAGUUUUCCCCUUCGGGGGACAGAGUGACAGGUGGUGCAUGGUUGUCGUCAGCUCGUGUCGUGAGAUGUUGGGUUAAGUCCCGCAACGAGCGCAACCCUUAAGCUUAGUUGCCAUCAUUAAGUUGGGCACUCUAAGUUGACUGCCGGUGACAAACCGGAGGAAGGUGGGGAUGACGUCAAAUCAUCAUGCCCCUUAUGAUUUGGGCUACACACGUGCUACAAUGGACAAUACAAAGGGUAGCGAAACCGCGAGGUCAAGCAAAUCCCAUAAAGUUGUUCUCAGUUCGGAUUGUAGUCUGCAACUCGACUACAUGAAGCUGGAAUCGCUAGUAAUCGUAGAUCAGCAUGCUACGGUGAAUACGUUCCCGGGUCU